RNAcentral lists this ribosomal RNA (253 nucleotides) under uncultured bacterium. Its description in RNAcentral is "partial 16S ribosomal RNA". It matches the Rfam family "Bacterial small subunit ribosomal RNA", at positions 524 to 776 of the family's 1533-position model. The record is from RNAcentral.
UACGUAGGGCGCAAGCGUUAUCCGGAAUUAUUGGGCGUAAAGAGCUCGUAGGCGGUUUGUCGCGUCUGCCGUGAAAGUCCGGGGCUCAACUCCGGAUCUGCGGUGGGUACGGGCAGACUAGAGUGAUGUAGGGGAGACUGGAAUUCCUGGUGUAGCGGUGAAAUGCGUAGAUAUCUGGAGGAACACCGGUGGCGAAGGCGGCAUCCUGGACCAACACUGACGCUGAGGAGCGAAAGCCAGGGGAGCAAACGGG